RNAcentral lists this ribosomal RNA (483 nucleotides) under uncultured bacterium. RNAcentral describes it as "bacterial SSU rRNA". It matches the Rfam family "Bacterial small subunit ribosomal RNA", at positions 30 to 507 of the family's 1533-position model. The record is from RNAcentral.
UUGAACGCUGGCGGAAUGCUUUACACAUGCAAGUCGAGCGGCAGCGCGGGCAACCUGGCGGCGAGCGGCGAACGGGUGAGUAAUACAUCGGAACGUGCCCAGACGUGGGGGAUAACUACUCGAAAGAGUGGCUAAUACCGGCAUACGAUCUAAGGAUGAAAGCGGGGGAUCGCAAGACCUCGCGCGUUUGGAGCGGCCGAUGGCAGAUUAGGUAGUUGGUGGGGUAAAGGCUUACCAAGCCCGCGAUCUGUAGCUGGUCUGAGAGGAUGAUCAGCCACACUGGGACUGAGACACGGCCCAGACUCCUACGGGAGGCAGCAGUGGGGAAUUUUGGACAAUGGGCGAAAGCCUGAUCCAGCCAUUCCGCGUGCAGGAUGAAAGGCCCUCGGGUUGUAAAACUGCUUUUGUACAGAACGAAAAAGCUCUUUCUAAUACAGAGAGUCCAUGACGGUACUGUAAGAAUAAGCACCGGCUAACUACGUG